RNAcentral lists this long non-coding RNA (11375 nucleotides) under Homo sapiens (human). RNAcentral's name for it is "HSALNT0313998". Lineage: Eukaryota; Metazoa; Chordata; Mammalia; Primates; Hominidae. The record is from RNAcentral.
AAAUAAAAAUAAAUAAAUAAAUAAAUAAAUAAAUAAAUAAAUAAAUAAAUAAGGAUUCCUUAGGAAACCAAGGGUUACAUUUAACAUUCUCAGGGAGGAUAUUAAUUAAAUCUGAAAAGAAAAUGGGUUUUUAUUUUUCAUUUUUCAGUAAAGAGAGGUAGAUUAUUGUAGAUUAAAGAGGAAUCUAGAGAUGGAAAGGAAAUGUACUGUUUUUGUUCUUCAAAAGAGCUUUUGAUCUAGGAAAAGACCAGGAAGACCAUAGGUCCCUACAGAGAAAGGGGUAACAGGGAAGAAAAAUAGAAAAAGAGGAGACUUGAGCCUCAUGCAUAUCUUUCCUAUUCUUUGAUUUUGCCUAGAGUCUUAAAUGCUCAACAUUUUGUCAGACCUAGUGUUCUUAAUUCAGCCAGGGAGAUCAAUGGGCUAUAUCACUGCCAACAAUCAACAUAGCAGGAUUGUCCCUGCCCACUUCAGCGGCCAUAGCCUCAGACACACAGAGGCACCUUCCCCUAACUCCAACCUUAAAAAAUAUCAUUACUAGUAAAAUUAAACAAACUUUAGUGCUUUAUUUUAAAAUGGAAUACACUAUACAAAUAAAAAUACGUAAAUAUUUGUUUAGAAGGGGAAAAGCGAGAGAAAAAGAUGAGAGUGACUUAGCAGGAGGAUCUAAAGCAGAAGGGAGGUAAAAUGGAGACCAUUCCUUCAAUCUUCAGGGAAAUAAUCUUUUUUUUGGCAGAGAGGCCAAUGUUUUAUUGCUAUUGAGUUUUAAGCUAAUUGGAGUAGGAAUUUUCUCUAUUUCUGCCUUAAGUAAAAAUAAAAAUUGUUGAUGGCAGGAAUGUCUAUGUCUUAAUGUAGAAAUUUUAGUUGCAAAUGUACACCAUCAAAGUAAAGCUAGUUUUGACAUUCCUGAGGAAAGCUGAUGUAUUAGUCAGGAUUCACGGGAGGAACAGAACCAAAGGAAAUAUAUAGGUCUAUAAGAAGGGAUGUGUUAUGGGAAUUGGCUCACACAAUUCUGGAGGCUGAGAAAUCCCACGAUAUGCCGUCUGCAAGUUGGAGAACCAGGAAAGCCAGGAUGUGAUUCAGUCUGAGUAGGAAGGCCUGAGAACCAGAGGAGCCUGUGGUGUAGUUUUCAGUCUGAGGCCGAAGGCCUGAGAGCCAGGAGGGCAGCUAGUGUAAGUCUCAGAGUUCAGAGGACUGAUAACUCAGCAUUCUGAUGUCUUAGGGAAGGAGAAAGUAGUCCCAGCUCCAGCAGAGAGAGCAAAGUUUCCCUUCCUCAGCCUUUUUGUUCUGUCUGAGCCCCUCAAGGGACUGGAUCUGAAUGAUGCUUACCCAUCUGAGGGCAGGUCUUUCUUAUUCAGCCUGCUGAUUCAAAUGCUAAUCUCUUCUGGAAAUACCCUCAAAGACAUACCCAGAAAUAAUCCUUUACCAGCUACCUGGGCAUCUCUUUGCCCAGUCAGGUCGACACAAAGUUAACCUUCACAGCUGUAGAAAGCGACAUUGACUUAUUAUAGCCAGAAUGGUCUCAGGACUUCCUGAGUGUGUGUGACUAACUAACCCUACAGUUAAUGCAAGAACUGCCCCUCAUACAUGUUAGUUACCUUAACAGCCCCUCAUCCAGACCUGUCCAAGCAGCCUUUCUCUGAAUACUUGUUUCAAAGGCAGGCUUCUCAAAGAUGCAGGAAUACCAUUUAAUCUCUAGGUUGAAUAGACAGAAUUCAGUUAACAUUAGAGUAGUGAAUUCAGUUCAAGAAAAUACUUAAGCAGUAAAUUCCACUGAAAUCCUAGGGAAAGUUUGGACAUUGCCACUCCAGAGGGGAUUAGAUUUCACUUGCCUAAUUAACUUGAGGAUGAAGAUAUCAUCAGCAGCCAAGUUCUAAACAAGUACUUGCUCUUUGAUUCAGACCUUUAAAAAUUGUAUAUAUACAUUUCUUCCCCUCAGCAAUCCUUUCUUCAAAACAAGGAGAAGUUUUUUUUAAAGAUACUGCAUUCCAGGCCUACUUAACGAUCUUAUCAUAGCACUAAUUGCUAUGUACUAGUAAUGUAGCAGCUGAAUUUGUUGUUCCCUUCAACUCUGCAGGAAAUGUGAAAGUCUGUAAAAUAGCUGAUGUCUUCAGUAAUCAUCCACAUUCUGGCUAGCACUCAAGUGGACUGGGGAGACCUACUGAGGCAGGCCUAUGUUUGAGUAGGAUCCCUUUUCCUCUGUCUUGUAUCUCAGCCAAUUAUCAGGAAUGAGGACUUGUGCAUUAGUUAGUUGUUCUAUGUACAUCUAUUGAUAGCUCUCACUGUUGAGGGCUCACAGAGUAAUCUCAUCUUGGCAUUACAACCUCCCACUUCCUUUCUGAUAACUUUUGUUUUUUAAACAAUUUGCUUUAAAAUUGAUUCAAAUCUUUAUGAUUAAGGCCACCUUGGUCUUUUAUUGGCAGCUGCCCUAGGAAUCCAAGAAUUGGCCCAAGUAACCAUUUGCUAGAAAGGAAUAAAAGAGUCCCCUGAGGUGACUUGGGAAUCUCAAAACAAAUUUAUAAUUUUGAUGUGAGACCAAGAGAACUUAUCAACUCAAUUAAAAUUGCCCUAUGAUUAGCCUUCCCAUAGCCCUCUGAGUGGCCAGGUCCCAGAAAGGUCAAGCAGCCUCAAAGGAGCAUUUAAUAAAUAUUUUAGUUCCAAGAUAAUAUACAUUGCUGGAAAAGGGAAGAGAGCAAACCAGAGGCAAUAAGUAUAGCAUUCUAUUCUCUUUAGUGUCUUGGAAUCUUCAACAAAAGUUUGCCUUAUUUUGGCUAAGUAGAGAAAAUUUAUGAGCCAAGCGGGCAAUGGACAGCUGUCUAUGUAUUGUGAUUCAAUAGAAGGCUGGGCUGGGGCUCCGCCUCUAAAGUUAUAAUAUUUGCCUUCUUACUAUGGCAUCAUCUUUCUAUUGGGUUUUGGCUAGUGCACUCAAAUUGAGAACACAGCUUCACAGGCAGAACACAACACACAGAUGCAAGGUCUCCUGAUGGCAGAAAACCUUAUAACCAGAGACGGGGUUACUCCGUGUUAGCCAGGAUGGUCUCGAUCUCCUGACCUCGUGAUCCACCUGCCUUGGCCUCCCAAAGUGCUGGGAUUCUGUAAUCCCAGUGAGCCACCGCGCCUGGCCCAUAAUCAACCUCAGCUGCCAACGCCAGAAUCAACCUCAGCUGCCAAAUGCUAGACUGAAAAAAGAAUGUAAACAGCUUGAUGGAGGGGAGGAUCCUGGUGCACCUGUGGUUUUGACAGCUUUUGCUGCUGCUUGAGGAGGAAACAGGUUGCCUGUUUGUUCUUCAAGAGCACUUCUGGCAUCCAGGUAUUAUGCAGGCAUGCACUGCCAGCUGUGAAAGAUGCCGCUUCCUUGUCACUUCAGAGAAUGAUGCUUCUACAGAAGAUCCCUCUUGCUAUUUCAUUCAGGGAGCUCGGGAGAGGAAGACAAAAAGAAUCAAAUGCAAAGCACAGAUCAUUGAAAGGGCCAGGGUCUGAAGUGAGACAACUCGUGUCACAGUGUUUUCAAACUUGAGAAUGGUACAGUAAAUUAGAAUGACUUAAUUGUAGUGAUUUUAAAAAGAUAUGAGUCCUCUAAUGGAUGGAUUAAAGAAAAGAAUAGCAAGAAAAUGCACAUAUACCAAAUUUUGACUGCCCGUGUGUUUAUACAGCCAAUGUUCUGUUCUGGUCAAGAAGAAAAGUAAGUAAGAUAACCUGUUUAUGUCAAGACAUCACAGAUGAGAAAAAAUAGAAUAUUAAAUCAUUGAGUCAACUUCAUAACUGAAAGUUUUUAACUGAAAUAUAUAUGCUUCACAGAUAAUCUAACAAUGUUGCAUGUAUUAUUUAUCUUAUGCUUACAUUAAAUACGUAUAUACCCUAAGGAAGAUUUCAAAAAUGAAAGUUUUGAAACAUGUUUCCUAUCAAUUAUUAAACUUAUUAUAAAACUUCAAUAGUUAAAAUAAUAUGGUUUAAUUGAUAUAAUGAAUCAGUAGAAGAGAUAUCAAACCUAAGACUCAAGAGUAUGAGAAUGUCAUGUAGAUAAAAAGGACAUUUCAAAUUAGUGGAAAAAGUGAAUUAUUCUAUAAAUUCUGUGAGUCAGUUGGAUAACUGUUAGGAAAAGAGAAAACCUAGAUCCCUACCUCAUUUUUAUUAAACUAAGUACCUUAUAUUAGGCUAAAGUAAAGAUAGGUGAAAGACUAAAAUAUACAAAUUAAAUAUAAUCACAAUAAAAUUGAGAAGAAAGCAUAAGUAAAUAUUUAAAAAACUUGAGUAACAAAGCUCAUUUCAAUAACGCCAUAAAAUUGGAAACAGCUCAGGAAAAGAUUUAUCAAUAUAAUUACAUAAACUCAUAGAACUUUUUAAAGACAAAAAGCAGCCUAUGGUAAAUUUGAAAGAAAAUGAAAAUUAAUAGAAUUACUUUUAAUAGUGUCAUUGUUAAAGCAUUCAUAUUUUAAUAUAUAAAAGCUCUUCAAAAUCAGUAAGGAUUAAAAAAUUGGUGAUCAUAAUAAAAAAAGGCAAGGGAUUUGAAAUAGGCAAUAGACAAAAGAGGAAACGUAAGUGGCUGGUAAACAUAGAUGAUAGAUAAAUGGAUGAAUAAGUAAUUAGGUAGCAUGUGGAUGCGUGGGGUAGGGGAGGGAAUGAAAGGGAAAAAGAGGGAAGACAAGGGAAGAAGGGAGGAAAAUCAAAAGGGAAGGGGACAAGAAAAGAAAAAAAAAUUAUACCAUUAUUCACUUAACAAAUUGGAAAAAGAUUUGGAGAAUGGACCACUCUUGUGAACUAAUAUACAAUAUAUUUUAAUGUUAAUUGUGCAUAGAUUUGACCCAGCAGUCUCAGUUCUGGAAAGUUACUCUAGCUAAUAUUAUAGCUAUAAAAAUAUUCACAGCAGAAUGCUUUAUAGUAGAAAUUAUAAUAAAGAAAACAACUUAAAUAUUCAUCAAGAUAUUAUUUAAUUGAAUAAUGGUUCUUAUUAUAAUUGGAUUUUAUAGUUCCACUCAAAUAAUGAUGUAGAAUUAAUUUAUUUGAAAACAUGCCCAGAACAUAUUGUUGAGUGGAAAAAAAUGAAGUUGCAGAACAGAAUAUAAGGUAUUUUUCUAGUUAUAUAUCCUUAUGUAUUUAUAUUAAUAAAACACCUAAAAGGAUUGUUACCAAACAACAUCAAUAGUGACUAUUUCUAGGUGGUAGCAUUUGAGGUAAUACAUCGUUUUACACUGGUACAUUUUUGGUAUUAUGUGACUUUUUCUAUUAGAGUAUACCAUUGUUACAAAAUGAAUAAAAGUUGUUUUCAAAAGAUAAAAAGCAUUUUGCUAAUUUUAAUUUUUAUUUGCUUCUUUUAAAUAUUUUUAAUCAUUGUACUUUUUACCUUGAGUAAAAUGAGAUGAAUGUCUAUGCAUUUUUAUUCUAGCAACAUUUUAUCUGGAAUUAUGUAGCCUGAAGGGAAAGCUCCAUACCCUUAUCUUUCUGUAUUUACUGAUUGUUCAUUCUUGGUAUAUUUGGCAUUUUAUUUAAUCUAUAAUUCAAAUAUACUCAGCAUAUCUCAUAAGAUUUGAUGGUCUAGUUUAUAAUUACUUUCAUUAUUGUAAAAUCUUGAUUUUUGUAGGUCAAUAAAUAGGGUUAAAAAUAAAUGAUUUGCAACCUCUUCUUUACAACAGCUCAAAAUGCCUCCAUUUCAUUUUGAACACAUCUCAAUAUCCACAUAAAGGCUCUAAACAAAAUUAAGUUUAAUUCACUCUAAAGGAAAGCACUUCUACAGACCGUUUUAAAGAGGAGGGUAACCAAUUUAAAUAAAUUAUCAGAUACUCAUUUUAUACAGAUGAGUGCUGCUAAUUACAAUCAGUCUCAUCUAUUCCUUAAAACUAGUCCAACAAGCAUGGAUAAACUUCGUCAGCAGUUAGUCACUUCAUUUAUUUGAAAACCUUAAAACAACAUGUCUUUAAAGAUAUUAUAUAUUUUAGAACUUUUACUAAUUUAGACUAUUUUGGAGGCAUCCCCGAAUAACGGGGUUUUACAAAAAUUCUGAUUUUUACAUGCUUCUUCUCAUUUGAUAUGUUUAGUCUUUAAGCAUUUUCAGUAUUUUCCGGUCUACAUACACUAACCUCUCUAUAUAUUCGACCUUUAAGUCCUCAGUUGUUUCAAGUUAUUAAAUAGUAGUCUACCCUCAGCUAUGUGUACUAGGAAAAUCAUCCCAUCCUUCUUGCAUUGUUUAAUUUACUGUAAUUUGUAUCUUAUUUGACUGUCUGAAGGUGGUGUCAUCUAAAGUAUCAUCUCCAUCCCAUUUCUUACUUGGCUUGUGAUGGAAGAACCAAACCAAAUUGGACUAACACUUACACAAUCUAUAGGUUUUAUAAUCUAUAUAAUCCACCUGUCCUACUUUCCUAAAUUGAUAAUAGAAAACCCUGUACUGGUUCUUUUUUAAAAAUAUUUAUUGUUGUCAUAAUUGUCAUUUUUCUAAAAACUUGCAUAAGCUGUUGUAAGCAGAGCAAAUGGUCUGUUUAUUCUUUCAGUACUUUUGAUUGACUAUGACUUGGCUGAUAUUAUAUUCUUUAUAUACACUGCUUGCUAUAACAAGCCCACCCACAUAAGAAACGUGCUGAGGAAUUAUCAAUCAGAGGGAUAUAUGUCUGUCAUCUUAGAUAAUAGCCUAAACUUUCCACCACCUGCCCCUUUUUAUAAAUUUUCAAGAGCUAUGAUUUUGUUAGAAGAUAAGCUAAGUGGACGUGAUUGUACGAUACUUGAAUAAACUAAGUUACACAGAAAACAUUUCUAUUGUGUUUCUAUCUACAGUAUUUAGCACAGUGCCUCUAACAUUAUAGAUACUCUCUAAAUAGGUGUUGAUCAAAUAGAUGUGUUUUACUUAUGAAAUUUGAUAAAGAUAGCCUGAAAGUGUAGGAAUGUUCUUCUCAGUUAUAGUUUAAGUAGUCAGGAUAACAGCCACAACAGAGGACCAUUCUAGAACCAGAGCUAUCCGAUGUUUACCAGCAGCAACACUGUAAAUUUCAAAACUUGAGGAUUCCUUGGGAAUUCUUUUAUCGACUUAGCAAUUAAUUUAAAUCUACUGUAAUUAAUUUCUGAGAAACCUGCAAAAGCCUAUUAGCUGGUAUUUAUAAACCAACUGAUACUAACCUGGGAGAACCGAUUGGAAUAAAUCAGUGUGUAUCAGCUAGAUAUGCUGCCCUGGCAUCUAGCCAAAUAGAAACAGACUAUUUCCAAGUUUCAGAAAAUAUAAUUAAAUUCAGCUUGAAAUGCAUCUAAAAGUCAUUGGCUGAUGUACUGGCCCAUGGAAAUAAAUAAUUACAUAUUGUAUUAAUAGAGUAUCUAUUUACCAGGAGUUCAAAGCACUGUUUUAACAAGCAUAUAUUCAUAAUAUUCUUGUAAACUAGAAAGGAGGUGCAUGUUUUCUAUAUAAUUAUUUUCCCAAAAAUAGUACUUUGUGAAAAGUCAUUGGCAGAUCAAGAGAUAUUCAUUCUCUUUUGAUUUAUGGUUCAAUAUUGUCCCCAGUUGAACAUAUCACCCAGUACCUCAUCAUCAGUAGGACUGUGAUUUUAACUUUCUUCUUAAAAAGCAAGUGGCUUCUUGCAAACAGAUGAUACCAAUUUCCUUUCUAGCACUUUCUAUAAUACGCCUAUUCUAAAAGGCUUAGCCUCUGCCUGAGGUAUGACCACAAUGUCUUCUAGCAAACCCAAGGCUCCAUUGCUUCUAAUCUGAAAACACAUAGUGCAAAUUUACCUCCCUUCCUCUUCACUACACUGUUCUCCUUCAGCUUUAUUACCUCUGCCAAUACACACUCAUACAUAGAAGGAAGCCUAACAUUCAUACAAUGUGGGUCCUUCCCUAGGUCUGAGGUUAGAAUCAUGUUCUCUUCCUUUCAUAUUAAACUACUUGUUACCUGUUUGGACUUCUGUUGACUUUCUUCAACAUGCAAUCUACUUGACUACUUGGAUUCAUAAUAUGCACUUACUUCUCCUUACAUUCGAAAAUUGUAAUUUUCAAAAUCUGCCUAUCCACCACUAAGAUAACUCAAUAAAUAAACUAUAUAGUCCACUCCCACCACCCCCCAUCCCAUGCCAAGACCUGCUAGAGAGACAGAGAGAGAGAGCUCCUUGAGAGUUUUGCAUCCUUAGCAUAGGCUGCCCUGGUCAUUCUCUCUGCUUGCAGGUGACCUUGCUACAUUUUCAGCCUGCUCCUUUAGUAUCCAUCAAGAACCCCCAUCCUUAACUAGACUCUUGCCCUGACUCAUCUUGGGAUUCAGUUAAAUCAUUAUCUAAACACUAACAUGGCCCCUCAAAAAUGUAGGAACAUCAUUUACCCCUGUAGCUGCUCACAAUAGCUAAUAAGCUUUUGCUAUAAAGAGACAGGAGACAGAAUGUUAUAAGUUAGUGGAAUGUAGUGAGUACAGAAAUACUUAUGUUCAAGAAUUCCAAGAUAGAUAGAUAGAUAGAUAGAUAGAUAGAUAGAUAGAUAGAUAGAUAGAUAGAUAGAUAAAAUAAAAAUUUAUAGAUCUCAGGUAAAGGGGAAGCAAUGCUAUAUGCAAUAUUAUUUUUGAACCUGACCUUGGCUUCAGCUGAAAACGGUAUAUUGUAUACUGUGGGCAAUAUAAGCAUAAUUAGAAACCAGUUUAAUUUUUUAAAAUUCAUUGAAUGUAACAUCCACUUUUCUGUGCUCUUUGAUUUUCAACAAUGUGCAUGUAUUACCUUUAUAACAUUAAACUUAAUGUUUAAAAUAUGCAGUGAAAAUAGAAACAAAAAUUAAGUAAUUAUUAGAGAAAUUUAUUCUUCAUUAGAGCUCCUUAUUUAAAUAAGUGAAACUAUGAAACCAUUCUUAAUAUAUCUGCCUAAUAACUAGCCCUAACUUAUAUAUAUCUGCCUAAUAACUGCCCUAACUUAGCAAGGAUGUACUUCUCAGAUAAUCUCAUGAAGGCCGUGGGAAACCGAGAAAGAUGAUGAUGAUAAAUUAAUACCCUCAAAAUUUUCCAUUAAUGUAUGUGAAUAUAUAUCUAAAUGUUGGUGUGAAACGUCAAUGGUUAUGUGUUUUCCUUCUCCUUUCAUUUGCAGAAGAGAAGAAAGGAAAUUUGGUUUGAUGUUAUCAGUUUUGAUUUGCUAACCCAAAAGGUCCAGAAUAAAGAACAAAUCAUUAUAAAUUCCUGGCAUUGCAAUCAUUGUGGAAAAUGCUGAUUUGGUUCUAUUAACUCACUAAUUCAAUUAAAAGGAGACUAGCAAAAAUCAUCUUAGGAGAGAUUCUGAACUCUUUACUUAAAAACUACUGUAUAACCUCAGGGUUUUGCUGAAGUGGGUAUUGUAGGUCGAGGAGUCUCUGAUAAUCUUCUGCAAUUAUACUUUGCUAAAUGAGCAGAACUGCAGUUCAGGUAGGAAAGGUCUAUGAAUUCCUGGCGUCUUGGAAGAAGCCUUUUGGCCAUUUGGGUGUUUUAUGUAAAUGUAGUUCUUUCUGGAGCUUGAGGAACUGAGCUAAGCUUAGGAGGAAUCAUAGACAAAGAGCAAGAAAUCCCCAGGCCCCUUCAAACAGUUCUGCUUUGUCUGCAGCCUAGUUAUAAGCGCUACCAUUCUUUCCUUCCCUCACUCUAACACUUCACUCUAAAAUGUGUCCUUUACAGUUACUGGGAUCUUAAUAUGUGCCAGGAAUUGCUUCAAAGCUUCCAUGUACUAACUCCUUUCGUCUUUACAAUGAUGAGGCAAAAACAUAUUAAGUAGCCUGACCAAGGUUAAAUAGCGAGUAAUAGGCAGAAUGAAGACUAGGACUGCAGAGCCCACUCUCCUCUACUCCUAGUGUGUUUUCAUCCAAUCAUGAAAACUACAAACUGCUCACUGAGGGCAGACAGCAGCUUGGAUUAGAUUAGCUACAUUGAAUUUCAUGGGAUACUCUUUUAAAAUAGUUUUAUAUCAUUUACUUUGUAUUUUGUUUAUCAAACCAAAUUGGAAAACAAUUGUAUUACCCAGUGAACCUGCAAAGUUUAAUUCUGCUAGAGAAUAGAAUUGGCCACUUGUGAGCUAUGCCAACCCAUUGAUAAUGACGAAAGUAAGCAUUUUUGAGCCUUCUUGGCCUCUUUUACAUCUCUUACCAUCUAAAUGGCAAUUGGGUGUCUUGCUGAAUCUUACCCAGCUGGCAAUCUAAAGUCUUGGUUAUAAUUCAGAAUUUUUGUCUGCCUGAGUGUAAUUCAAAUGCAGGGCCAGAUAUUCUCUUCAAAGCCAAGUUAUGAUUAAUGCUGGAAGUAUCUUCUAUGGAAACAUGACUGGGCUGGGAAGCCUGAGGUUUGAAUUCUAAGGCUGGAUCCACUCCCAAUUCGUUCUGCGGUACUGGGUUAACACUUUUCAUUUACUGAGUCUCAACUCCCACAUAUGUGGAAAGACAGUUUGAAGUAAAUGAUCUAUAAGAUUUCCUUGAGCUCCAAGACUCUAUGAUCCUCAUAGAGUUCUUAAUGAAAGAAAGAAAGAACCUAUUAUGUACAUGGUGAAAAGACAAUGGUAUCAUUUUCUAAGACUUAUUUUUAGAUGACUAGGAACAAGAGGGAUAACCUAAUUUCUAAUAUUUCAAAAAAAUUAUUAGGACUUCCACAAUGUUAAGUUCCAUCUUUCAUUAUAUGUUUUAGCUUUUUCUUUAAAAAAAAAAAAUCUCCCUAGAGAGAAAGGUAAAGACAGGAAAAGGAAGGAAAAGUUUAAGUGUCCUUAUAUAUUAAGGCUCAAGAAACCAGUUGACACUGUUUUUGUGCACUUGAAUAAAACAAUUUCUGGUAACAAAGUAGAACCCUACCUGCAGCAUUCCUUAGCUUGACUGUGAGAAAAUACAGUAAUUCCCUAUGUCUCAAGAAAGAUCUGGGUUGUUGCUGUUCACUAGGGACAUGAAUAUUUGCAAUGAUGUGCAAGGGUGUGAAGGGCCUCCUCCGAGCCAUUGAAAAACACACUUCAUGUCCCUGAGGUGUCAGUUUUACUUACUGAUUUUAAGGAGAGGAAUUGCUAUUUCUAUAUUAAAACAAAUAUGUAAACGUAAAUAUCUUAGGUAAGAAAAGAAGAAUCACCUAUUAAUGGUGAAGAAACACAUGAAUAUUAAUAGAUUACUAUCCCUACAGCAGAUGCUUCAGGUGACUACAGCCAGCUCCAGAGGUUCCAAAGAUCUUAAAGAUGUCCCAGAAAAGUUCUAGAGUACUAUCAGAUCUCACACUUUGCCUUGGAAGCUGUCAUUCCCCUCCAUUGGCCCCACAACUGCAGUAUAAUCUUCAGUGACAGGAGAAAAUCGACCUUGUUUGUACAGAAGUCUCAGCAGGAAUAGGCAGAUGCCUGUUUUUGCUGCCAAGGAUGGAGGAUUGGAAUGGGCCCAUUAUAUAUUUUGAGGCUUUGAAGAAAAGUCUCAGGAUAUGUUUUCCCAUUAAAAUACUGUUAUAAACAAUUAGA